RNAcentral lists this ribosomal RNA (253 nucleotides) under uncultured bacterium. RNAcentral's name for it is "partial 16S ribosomal RNA". It matches the Rfam family "Bacterial small subunit ribosomal RNA", at positions 524 to 776 of the family's 1533-position model. The record is from RNAcentral.
UACGGAGGGUGCGAGCGUUAAUCGGAAUUACUGGGCGUAAAGCGCGCGUAGGCGGUUUGUUAAGUCAGCUGUGAAAGCCCCGGGCUCAACCUGGGAACUGCAGUUGAUACUGUCCGACUAGAGUACGAGAGAGGGAGGUAGAAUUCCAUGUGUAGCGGUGAAAUGCGUAGAUAUAUGGAGGAAUACCAGUGGCGAAGGCGGCCUCCUGGCCCGAUACUGACGCUGAGGUGCGAAAGCGUGGGGAUCAAACAGG